Punica granatum (pomegranate) is the source of this 532-nucleotide non-coding RNA. NCBI's taxonomy places the organism in Eukaryota, Viridiplantae, Streptophyta, Magnoliopsida, Myrtales, Lythraceae. The record is from RefSeq and is a predicted model, not a curated record.
CGAGAGCACGAGAGCACGAGAGAGAGAGGAGAGAGAGAGAGAGAGAGAGAGAGAGAGAAGUGUUGAGAUGGCAAGAGAGCUCGUGCAAAUUUCUAUUGAGCUCAUCUUUUACGCAUGGAUGAAAUCUCCUGCCGUCAAUCGCCAAUGAGCUCAGGGAUCGAGGAGACUGAAUCCUAGCACUCAAAAGGUUCGAUCCAAUGAGCUAUAUUUCUUGGAGUUGUCGCCUUGGGAUCGCUGGACUCGGCGGAGUACAAAAUGGGCCAGAUCGACCGUUGGACCCAGCGGGAUACAAAUAGGGCCUGAUCGGCCGCUGGACCCGACGGAAUAGAAAAAAGGGGCCUGAUCGGCCGCUAAGACCCGGCGGAAUGCAAAGUGAGGUCAACUCUUACCACCAGAGGUUAAUAGGCGGCCAUCGCUUAUGAGAUGUGGAUAUUGGAAGUUGAGAAUGGUAUGAGCGAGAUGUGCAGGGUCACGGUACCGUCAUAACUCUGUUGCGAGGAAAUGCAACCCUAUGGCUAUAUUGAUUUGGUUG